Molecule: ribosomal RNA, 253 nt
Filed under: uncultured bacterium
Lineage: Bacteria
Description: partial 16S ribosomal RNA
Rfam family: Bacterial small subunit ribosomal RNA
Source: RNAcentral
UACGGGGGGGGCAAGCGUUGUUCGGAAUUACUGGGCGUAAAGGGCUCGUAGGCGGCCAACUAAGUCCGACGUGAAAUCCCCAGGCUUAACCGGGGAACUGCGUCUGAUACUGGAUGGCUUGAGUUUGGGAGAGGGAUGCGGAAUUCCAGGUGUAGCGGUGAAAUGCGUAGAUAUCUGGAGGAACACCGGUGGCGAAGGCGGGUCUCUGGGCCGAUACUGACGCUGAGGAGCGAAAGCGUGGGGAGCGAACAGG